Molecule: ribosomal RNA, 403 nt
Filed under: Verrucomicrobiota bacterium
Lineage: Bacteria; Pseudomonadati; Verrucomicrobiota
Description: Verrucomicrobia bacterium partial 16S ribosomal RNA
Rfam family: Bacterial small subunit ribosomal RNA
Source: RNAcentral
UGGGGAAUAUUGCACAAUGGGGGAAACCCUGAUGCAGCGACGCCGCGUGAGCGAAGAAGGUUUUCGAAUCGUAAAGCUCUGUCCUAUGAGAAGAUAAUGACGGUAUCAUAGGAGGAAGCCCCGGCUAAAUACGUGCCAGCAGCCGCGGUAAUACGUAUGGGGCGAGCGUUGUCCGGAAUUAUUGGGCGUAAAGGGUACGUAGGCGGUCUAUUAAGUCAGGUGUGAAAGCGUGAGGCUUAACCUCAUUAAGCACUUGAAACUGAUAGACUUGAGUGAAGGAGAGGAAAGUGGAAUUCCUAGUGUAGCGGUGAAAUGCGUAGAUAUUAGGAGGAAUACCGGUGGCGAAGGCGACUUUCGGGACUUUUACUGACGCUCAGGUACGAAAGCGUGGGGAGCAAACAGG